CAGAUACAAAAGCUCUUAAGCAAAACCAAUGGGAAAGUAGUUAGUGAUGUUAUGACUUCUGCACCUCUUGUGGUGCGUGAAACUACUAACCUUGAAGAUGCUGCAAGGUUACUUCUUGUUACUAAAUACCGCAGGCUGCCAGUAGUCGACAGUUCGGGCAAAUUGGUUGGAAUCAUCACAAGAGGGAACGUCGUCAGAGCUGCUCUUGAGUUUAAGAAAAAUGUUGAAGGGAGUCUUUGAAGUGGAACUGUAGAUGAUCCUUUCCGAAGGUGGAACUUGAACAUAUUGCUAGUAGGCAAGCG
This 302-nucleotide ribosomal RNA is filed under the name Triticum aestivum (bread wheat). RNAcentral's name for it is "partial small subunit ribosomal RNA". Lineage: Eukaryota; Viridiplantae; Streptophyta; Magnoliopsida; Poales; Poaceae. The record is from RNAcentral.